CAGCGCCGCGGUAAUACGGAGGGGGCUAGCGUUGUUCGGAAUUACUGGGCGUAAAGCGCACGUAGGCGGCUUGGUAAGUUAGAGGUGAAAGCCUGGAGCUCAACUCCAGAAUUGCCUUUAAGACUGCCGAGCUAGCAGGUGAGAGAGGUAAGUGGAAUUCCGAGUGUAGAGGUGAAAUUCGUAGAUAUUCGGAAGAACACCAGUGGCGAAGGCGGCUUACUGGCUCAUACUGGACGCUGAGGUGCGAAAGCGUGGGGAGCAAACAGGAUUAGAUACCCCAGUAGUCCCUGUCUCUUAUACA
This 301-nucleotide ribosomal RNA is filed under the name uncultured bacterium. RNAcentral's name for it is "partial 16S ribosomal RNA". It matches the Rfam family "Bacterial small subunit ribosomal RNA", at positions 509 to 808 of the family's 1533-position model. The record is from RNAcentral.